GGUUCGACUCGAGCGCGGCGAGAGAACGUUGCGUCAGCAACGGCCCGCAGGGCGAGCCACGCAGUGGCGAGUCAUCCUCUAUCACCGACCA
Molecule: small RNA, 91 nt
Filed under: Salmonella enterica subsp. enterica
Lineage: Bacteria; Pseudomonadati; Pseudomonadota; Gammaproteobacteria; Enterobacterales; Enterobacteriaceae
Description: partial RtT sRNA
Rfam family: RtT RNA
About the family: This family represents a bacterial cis-regulatory element known as RtT RNA. The exact function of RtT is unknown although it is thought that it may be involved in changing the cellular response in relation to amino acid starvation.
Source: RNAcentral